UUGAACGCUGGCGGCAUGCCUUACACAUGCAAGUCGAACGGCAGCACGGGGGGCAACCCUGGUGGCGAGUGGCGAACGGGUGAGUAAUGCAUCGGAACGUGCCCAGUAGUGGGGGAUAACUAGUCGAAAGAUUAGCUAAUACCGCAUACGACCUAUGGGUGAAAGCGGGGGAUUCGCAAGAACCUCGCGCUAUCGGAGCGGCCGAUGUCUGAUUAGCUAGUUGGCGGGGAAAGGCCCACCAAGGCUUCGAUCAGUAGCUGGUCUGAGAGGACGACCAGCCACACUGGGACUGAGACACGGCCCAGACUCCUACGGGAGGCAGCAGUGGGGAAUUUUGGACAAUGGGCGCAAGCCUGAUCCAGCCAUGCCGCGUGCGGGAAGAA
This 383-nucleotide ribosomal RNA is filed under the name uncultured bacterium. RNAcentral's name for it is "bacterial SSU rRNA". It matches the Rfam family "Bacterial small subunit ribosomal RNA", at positions 29 to 412 of the family's 1533-position model. The record is from RNAcentral.